UUGCACUUAACUGCUUCUUUGGAGAGCCUAAUUAAGGAUGAAUUGUCAGCCAAGCAACCUGAAGCAUAUGACUGGUUUUGGUCUGAUCAACUUCCAAUAGUUGUGACAACUUUUGUGAACCAUUUUGAAAGGGACCUCGUUUUACUGCAGUUACUACAGUAUGCAGGAAAGGAUUAUCUGAGGGUUCAGGCAAUGCUAGUGAUAUCUCACUUCUCAUGCUCGCGCUGACCUGCAUUGCUACAAUCACAAAACUUGGACCAGCAAAAGUUUCUUGCUCUCAGUUUUUCUCCACAAUACCAGAUAUAACUGGUUGAUUGAUGGACAUGCUUGUUGAUUUCAUUCCGAUACACCAGGCUUAUCAUUCAAUUAAGGAUUUGGGUCUACGCAGAGAAUUUCUUGUCCAUUUUGACCCUAGGGCUGCAACCUGUGUUACUCAUGAAAGAGGAACAGAAGAAAUGUCUUUUUGGGUGGAUCUUAUACAGAAACAGCUGCAGCGAGCGAGCGAUUGACAGGGAGAGGAUAUGGUCAAGGCUGACGACUUCUGAAACUAUAGAGGUAUUGGAAAAGGAUUUGGCAAUAUUUGGGUUUUUCAUUGCUCUAGGGUGAAGCCCACGGUCUUUUUUAUUGGCAAAUGGCUUUGAUGUUUUGGAUGAUCCUGUUGAAAGUUUCUUAAGGUAUCUCAUAGGGGGCAGUGUGUUAUAUUAUCCUCAGCUCUCAUCAAUAAGUUCCUAUCAACUCUGUAUGUGGAGGUUAGCGUGCUUAAUUACCUGUUUUUCAUAUGGGUAAACCUUCCAUGGUUCAAUCAUAAUUCAACCCGACUCACCUAAGCAUUUUCCCAUCUAUAAGUGGUUGGCUAGAAAAAUCCCAUUUAGCCAUUCAACUCUACUUAAAUAUUUGUUUCAUGAUUUUCUUGCUUCAAUCAUGAUCUGGCUUUAUUGAGUUGGUUCCACAGGCAGUCUGCGAAGAGCUGGAAUGGCUUACUUUCUUUCCAAGCAAUGUAGAUGCGAGGCAAUCACGUGACCAUAAAAGUAAAAGAGAAGGACCUCCCAAUGAGGAAGCCAUUCCCCAAGUAAUGCAUGUGUGCUCUUAUUGGAUGCAGGGUUUUAUUAAGUACAGUAAAUGGCUAGAGAACCCUUCUAACAUUAAGGCGGCAAGAUUCCUUUCUAGAGGGCACACCAAGUUAAAGGAAUGCAUGGACGAUUCGGGUGUACUAAAGAACGAAAUGGAGACU
Molecule: long non-coding RNA, 1231 nt
Organism: Telopea speciosissima
Lineage: Eukaryota; Viridiplantae; Streptophyta; Magnoliopsida; Proteales; Proteaceae
Exons: 6
Source: RefSeq, a predicted model, not a curated record